RNA transcript from Pipistrellus kuhlii (Kuhl's pipistrelle), 714 nucleotides. It is a transcript of the gene named cyclin-dependent kinase inhibitor 3-like, with no coding region annotated. Lineage: Eukaryota; Metazoa; Chordata; Mammalia; Chiroptera; Vespertilionidae. The record is from RefSeq and is a predicted model, not a curated record. The transcript has a single exon.
GUCACGAUGUGGGCAGCCAGCGGUGAUGCACCUAGCUCAUUGCAAACAAGUGAGUUUGACUCACCAGAGGAAGAGCCUAUUGAAGAUGAACAGACUCCAAUUCAGUUAUCAUGGCCACCCCUGUCACAAGUGAAUUGUUCUCAGUAUCUUGGUUCAUGUGUUCUUCCAAGUUGUAAAUUUAAAAAUGUUAGAAGAAAUAUCCAAAAAGAUACCGAAGAACUAAAGAGCUAUGGUAUAGAAGACAUAUUGCUUUUUGCACCAGAAGGGAACUAUCAAAACAUAGAGUCCCAAACCUCUUGGACCUCUACCAGCACUUUGGAAUAAUCUCUCAGCAUCAACCAAUCCCAGCUGGAAGGACUCCUGACAUGGCCAGCUGCUGUAAAUAACAGAGGGCCUUAAAAUAUACCUUAAAAAUAACCAAAAUGAAAAUCUCUUAAUACACUGUUAGGAAGGAGUUGGCAGAUCUUGUCUUGUAGCCAUCAUCUUGUCUCCUACUACCUGCCUGACAGUAUUACCACAGCAUGUCAUGUAGAGUCUGAGUGAGGAUCUGGAGCAAUACAGACCAUAAAGCGAUAUAAUUAUCUUUACAAGUUCUAGGACAAACUAGCUAUACAUCUAUCAUCAAUAGAUUCACUAUCAAGGUCUGUAUCUAGGGGGGAAAAUAAGAAUAUUGAACAGCAUGUAUAUAUGACCGUGCAUCUUCUUAAAAAUUAA